This is an unclassified non-coding RNA of Oryctolagus cuniculus (rabbit), 296 nucleotides long. It matches the Rfam family "Metazoan signal recognition particle RNA". Rfam says of the family: The signal recognition particle (SRP) is a universally conserved ribonucleoprotein. It is involved in the co-translational targeting of proteins to membranes. NCBI's taxonomy places the organism in Eukaryota, Metazoa, Chordata, Mammalia, Lagomorpha, Leporidae. The record is from Ensembl.
GCCGGGCGCGGUGGCGCCCGCCUGUAGUCCCAGCUACUCGGGAGGCUGAGGCCGGAGGAUCGCUUGAGUCCAGGAGUUCUGGGCUGUCGUGCGCUAUGCCGAUCGGGUGUCCGCACUAAGUUCGGCAUCAAUAUGGUGACCUCCCGGGAGCGGGGGACCACCAGGUUGCCUAAGGAGGGGUGAACCGGCCCAGGUCAGAAACAGAGCAGGUCAAAAAGUAGAAUUCUUCCCUCAAAACUGUUACAGGAGAGCAAACCCCAAUUCCCUGACAGGAACCAGGGAUUCAUCUCCCUCUG